AGAUAUUAAAUCCGACAGAUCCGAAUCCGAGUAUCCUAAAUUUCCCGCAUAUUCGGAUCAGUUUCAGGCCUAAUGGAUAUAAUAAGAAACAGCUAAUAUAAUUUAUCACUUUGAUUUGUUUAUCGACAUAGAUACAUUAUUUACAAGUUCACACAUAUCUUAUACAGUAAAAUUGGCUUGGGUCUCUCCUCAUUAAGCCACAUCAUCAUGUGGGGGGGGGGAGGGGGGGCUUUUCGCGACACGUCAGCACUUCUCACAUGCAUUUAAAAUCUAAUUACGGUCUCUCGUUUGGGCUUCGUCAAGGGCUUGGUUGUUUGUGCUUAGCUUAUGGUUACUUAUGUUGGGCUUUGUCUAAUUUUAGCCCAUUGCAACCACCCUUCUUCUUCUACGCCGCAUCGUGAAAUCCUAAUAUUUUCUUCAUCAUCAUAACACGAGAUCAAGUAACGGAAUCACGAUUUAUGUUCAAGCCAUAAACACAUCAUUUAAUCUCAGUAAAUUAUCCCCCCCCCCCACCCCAACUACUCCUCAAUUCACCAGAACCUUCGAUCUCUUCGGAUUCUUCAGGAUUUGGAUCAUAUAAAUAGGCGUUCUUUAGGAGAUAUAUACAUUUGUAAGAGAAGUUGAUUGUGAACAAAUUCUUUCCUUGGCAGCGAUGCAACUGUGUGCGUCAGAGCUGAGCUAUUCCACAAGAGGCUGAAGGCUGGUGUUGUCCAACCUAAAGUGAUGGUGGCUACGAACAUCAAUCCUAUGUUUGUAGGAGUGCUACCUCUGCAACUCAUUUUUAUUUUGACAAUGAGGUGGCAGCAAACAAGACUCUAUUUAAGCAGUUGUCUUCCAAGCUCGAGAAUGACUCAACAAGUGGAAAUCAAUAUCGUGGUGUGAAGAAGCUGGAACCAGUUUUGCUUGGGGAGAUAAACAACUAUGUCCUGAAUUCACCCCUCAAUCCAACGCAGUCCAUCGAAUUCCUAUGCAAAGCCAUAAUUGGGGGGUUGGAGACUACCAACUAAUGGUGUUAUAUGUUAUGGCUAAGUGUUCCAAGAAGCUCCAACGAGGAAUAUCCUCUUUCACUUGCACAACAUAUUUUAAUGUCAGGCUGUUGGGGUUGUCAGGUUAUCUUUGCUCAUGGUUUUAGAUCAUCUUCAACUACAUAUAAACAUCUAUUUUUUGUACUUACUCAAUGUCUGGUUUUAAAACGUGAAUGGUUUUAAGUACCGUGUUGAGAUGCUGGUGGAGUCGGGUGAAGAUACAGAUGUGUUUGUUGCAUUCGACUCAGUUAUGUCUAACCUGACAGGUGUCAGGGCUGCAGAGGUUGCAAAUCCUAUGGGACAAGGAGAACAAGAUCCAAUAGGCUAUCAGCUCCCUCAGUUUCUCCAAGACAUUGUUGGGAAUACAUACAUAUUCCAUCUGAAGCUCACUGAAUUUAAUUUCUCUGGUAACCAUAAGUCCUUCACUGUUGCCAGAAUCUUUGAUCCCAAUGAUAGGAUACCAGGCCUUUCUUUCGCACCACAUGUAAGUCAGCAAAACUUAUAUGUUUACAUGACUCCAUAUUUACCAAGAUACUAAUAGGCAAUACCGUUGCUCUAAAGGGGGGGGGGGGGGAACCCUGAUGGUGAUAUGCAUGGAAAUAAAUGUGCUUCUUACAAGUUCCAUGUCGGUGGCUCCUCCGGCGUUAAUCCCAGUGAAGGAGGUGAGGAACUCAAGGAACUACAUGCUCCUGAGGAAACAAUAGCAAGCAGUGAGCAGCAGGAAACCAUUUCUGAGAAUGUUCAUGACAACAAACCAGGUUCACCUGAAGGGAAUCCACCGAAGAAGGCGCGAAAUGCGUAGAUCUUGAGUCAUUAGAUAUGAGGAACUAAGAAAUGUGUGGGCAUACGAUUUGUCUUUGGUACCUUAGUCUAUGUUAGGACAGUUGGUCCAUUAUCUAAUUUUAGUUUAAGUCAUUGUUUUUUCCCUGUUUCGUUGUUGUUUUUUCCAAUUUUCUUGACAUUUGAGGUUUUUAAUAUUUACUCUUGCGUUUUUUC
Molecule: long non-coding RNA, 2021 nt
Organism: Brassica napus (rape)
Lineage: Eukaryota; Viridiplantae; Streptophyta; Magnoliopsida; Brassicales; Brassicaceae
Exons: 5
Source: RefSeq, a predicted model, not a curated record